AUUGAACGCUGGCGGCAGGCCUAACACAUGCAAGUCGAGCGGAUGACGGGAGCUUGCUCCUUGAUUCAGCGGCGGACGGGUGAGUAAUGCCUAGGAAUCUGCCUGGUAGUGGGGGACAACGUUUCGAAAGGAACGCUAAUACCGCAUACGUCCUACGGGAGAAAGCAGGGGACCUUCGGGCCUUGCGCUAUCAGAUGAGCCUAGGUCGGAUUAGCUAGUUGGUGGGGUAAUGGCUCACCAAGGCGACGAUCCGUAACUGGUCUGAGAGGAUGAUCAGUCACACUGGAACUGAGACACGGUCCAGACUCCUACGGGAGGCAGCAGUGGGGAAUAUUGGACAAUGGGCGAAAGGCCUGAUCUAGCCAUGCCGCGUGUGUGAAGAAGGUCUUCGGAUUGUAAAGCACUUUAAGUUGGGAGGAAGGGCAGUAAGUUAAUACCUUGCUGUUUUGACGUUACCGACAGAAUAAGCACCGGCUAACUCUGUGCCAGC
RNAcentral lists this ribosomal RNA (490 nucleotides) under uncultured bacterium. RNAcentral describes it as "bacterial SSU rRNA". It matches the Rfam family "Bacterial small subunit ribosomal RNA", at positions 30 to 512 of the family's 1533-position model. The record is from RNAcentral.